This 71-nucleotide transfer RNA is filed under the name Mesorhizobium sp. B2-3-14. Its description in RNAcentral is "tRNA-His". The record is from RNAcentral. Lineage: Bacteria; Pseudomonadati; Pseudomonadota; Alphaproteobacteria; Hyphomicrobiales; Phyllobacteriaceae.
CGGCCCGUAGCUCAGGGGAAGAGCGCCAGUCAUGUGCUGGAGGCCCCCGGUCGAGACGGGCGGGUCCGCCA